RNAcentral lists this transfer RNA (67 nucleotides) under Polypedates impresus. Its description in RNAcentral is "tRNA-Tyr". It matches the Rfam family "tRNA". From Rfam's summary of the family: Transfer RNA (tRNA) molecules are approximately 80 nucleotides in length. Their secondary structure includes four short double-helical elements and three loops (D, anti-codon, and T loops). The record is from RNAcentral. Lineage: Eukaryota; Metazoa; Chordata; Amphibia; Anura; Rhacophoridae.
GGUAAUGUGGCCGAGCAGGCGGUGGAUUGUAGCCCCAAGAACAGAGGUGUAAACCCUCUCAUUACCA